RNAcentral lists this ribosomal RNA (451 nucleotides) under uncultured bacterium. RNAcentral's name for it is "bacterial SSU rRNA". It matches the Rfam family "Bacterial small subunit ribosomal RNA", at positions 152 to 619 of the family's 1533-position model. The record is from RNAcentral.
GGAAACGACUGCUAAUACCGCAUAAGCCCACGGAUCGGCAUCGAUCUGAGGGAAAAGGAGCAAUCCGCUUUGAGAUGGCCUCGCGUCCGAUUAGCUAGUUGGUGAGGUAACGGCCCACCAAGGCGACGAUCGGUAGCCGGACUGAGAGGUUGAACGGCCACAUUGGGACUGAGACACGGCCCAGACUCCUACGGGAGGCAGCAGUGGGGAAUAUUGCACAAUGGGGGAAACCCUGAUGCAGCGACGCCGCGUGGAGGAAGAAGGUCUUCGGAUUGUAAACUCCUGUUGUUGAGGAAGAUAAUGACGGUACUCAACAAGGAAGUGACGGCUAACUACGUGCCAGCAGCCGCGGUAAAACGUAGGUCACAAGCGUUGUCCGGAAUUACUGGGUGUAAAGGGGGCGCAGGCGGGAAGACAAGUUGGAAGUGAAAUCUAUGGGCUCAACCCAUAA